GUAACGGUUCGCUGAAGAUGGGUCACUCUCCUUCGUCGAUCGACCAUCCAACGGCUCAGGAGGCGUGGGAGGAGCUAUUCAUCGUCCGACAAGGCCAUAUGCUCUGUUUUUCUUCUUUUUCACUUUCUAGUUACUGUAAUGGCUAUAUAAGCCAACUCUCUCACUCAUUUGAGGCAUGUAAAAGAUUAUUGGGUAUAAACCCUAGCCGCCGGUGACGUGCUACUACCUUUUCCCUUUCUGUGCAAUGAAAACCCUAGCUCGAAUUUCUAAAAUUCUCGUCUUAAAUCAACUAGUUCUUGCUUAAACCCUGUUGAUCGGGACUCUGGUCCUGACAGAUCCUCUCCCUUCUUUUCCUUCUUCUCAAUCUCCUCUCACCUCUAUCCCUCUUUCUCCCUGGACAGGGACCUCCAUGGCGCUGCCGACCCUCAAUCUCGCCCGAUCCGGCCGCCUCCACGCCAAAUCCGUCGAAAAUGGAUCCACCCUGGCCAGAUCCGCCCGGAUCCGACCUGGCCCCGCCGUCAUUGCCACCGGAGUGCCGCCCCGCUCGACCUGCAGCGCCACCUACAACCGGCAGCCCUUGAAGAACCUCAUCUCUCUGAUUUGCUCCCUAUUUGUUGCGGGAUGGGCAAGAACCAAAUAUAGUAGUUACAACAAAAGGGGUGAAUUUAGAGGAAGAUGCAGCAAGGCAGAGGUAGUAAUCUCAAAAAUGUUCUGAAAUAUAGCGUGAACAGGUGUGGUCUUGCAAAAUGUGAGUUGGUAAACCAAGUGUGGCUGCUGCCCACUGAUUCCUUCCUACUCCCCCAAUUUUUCUCACAAAAUGCAUUUUGUGGUAUGAUGCGACUACUACUGAAGAUAUAACGUUUAAGGAUCUGAAUAUUUGAGCAGAGACCUAUCUUCGGACACUUGAUCAGCUUCAUCACCAUGAAACGGUGAAUCUCUAACAAGGGAAUUUCUUUGUCUGCUAUGUCAUGCAUAUUCAAAACCAUGGGAUCAGCAACUCAGCAUAGAAAACUCAGUUAGCCUGCUGGUUAUUUUUCGGUUGCUCGGCUUUUGAACUCCAUAGUUAGAGAAUGAUGGAAGGGAUUUGGACCUUGCUGAAUUACUUGGAGAUACACCUCUCCAGCCAUCAUUGCUGCUGAUGCCAAGAGGAUUGCUACACGAGACUGGCACUCUGUUUCUCUGCAGUUAUCCUUAUUGACAUUUAUAUGAUGUUGUUUGGGUAGCAACUUUUGAUAUUUCCUGGUCACUGUGGUCAGAGGGAAUAAACAUGGCUCCAAGCAUGUCAAAGUUGCUAUUCUCAGGAUCUUGAUACUGAAAUUGAUGGGCUAUCUUCGAUCUGCUAGAGAGAGAUUUCUUUGCUUCAUUAAUGACUGUUGUUGUGUGCCUUCUGUAGCCAGAAUGAGGGAUUUCAUGUGUUAGGCAAAAGGAUACUUCAAUUUCUUGAGCUUUCUUAAUUCUUGGCUAAAUAUUCAAUCCAUGUUCCCAUAGAGUUUGAUAAAGGCUAAAUUUUGUAUUUACUGUGAGUUUUUUUGCAUAUACAAUUUCUUACUAUUUUUUUGUUACACAUUAAUUUUUUCCCCGUUGCAACGCACGGGCAUAUGUGCUAUAAGAAGUAAUGUUCUCACUUCUAUUUUUUAUGAGCUUCGUUAUCUCAGUCUCAACAACAUCCAGGAGAUGUACUACGUAUUGUUAGUUCAAAAGCUUUCUUUCACAAGUUGGCAACACAAUAUUCAGGAUGUUAAGCAGGUGUUAUAGUUCUAAUUUACUUUCUUCUCAUAACACUUGGUCUCAUAAACAGUAGACUGUAGCCCGAUGUUGCUCACUCCACACUUAUACUUGUUCUGAUUUCUGAUGGCCUCCUAAAUUUGAAUUAUUGUCUUGAUGCCAGGUGGAGGACCUUUGCAACCUUAUCAAGCUUUAUGCUAAACUGACACACUUACUUGAUCCCAUAUUACUCUUCGAACAAUUUUUGCGCAAAGUUAAGGAAGUUGAGGCCAGUAAUUGUGUUAGAAUAAACUUCUUUUUUCCUUUAAGGGUUUGUUUCCAUACUGUGGGGAAGCAGGAUUUGAGUCCCACUAUGAGGGAUCGACCUUCAGAGAUCAGCUACCGGCGUCAUACUACCCCCACAAGGAUUGCAGAGAGCAUGGACCACCAUAUGGAAGAAGGAGAUGCCAUCCUUCACUAUCGUUGUCUUUGGCGUGUUGCUGCCAUUUUUCUAAUCCUUGCACUUCAGAGUCCUCAGUCUAUCCAUGGAUUUGCUGGGAAAAACCAUCUCUAUAAAAUUGAAGAGACGCAUAGAGCAAGAGACAGGAAUAAUACUUCCUUGUGUGCUUCCUGAGAAUCUACAAUGAAGAAUAAGAAGGGGGCAGUAACUAAGUAUGCAUGUCAUUACUGAUUCUAUUGAAAAUAGUUAUACAUACGUUUUUUAGGAAAAUUAAGCUAUAUUUAAAUGUUGCAUGGUUCAAAUAUUGGGUCUAUGAAGAUCUGUUUAUACAAAAAAAUGCAUAAAUAAAGUCUCAUGUGGCUAUGUAAUUCACUUGUUAUAUGUCAAGUUCGAGCUCCAAAGAACAGAGUGAAACUGUUUGUUCCAAAGAAUAGAUGUCACUGUUCGGCCUC
Molecule: long non-coding RNA, 2616 nt
Organism: Aegilops tauschii subsp. strangulata
Lineage: Eukaryota; Viridiplantae; Streptophyta; Magnoliopsida; Poales; Poaceae
Source: RefSeq, a predicted model, not a curated record